RNAcentral lists this ribosomal RNA (267 nucleotides) under unidentified marine bacterioplankton. RNAcentral describes it as "partial 16S ribosomal RNA". It matches the Rfam family "Bacterial small subunit ribosomal RNA", at positions 70 to 339 of the family's 1533-position model. The record is from RNAcentral.
CAGCGCGGGAGCAAUCCUGGCGGCGAGCGGCGAACGGGUGAGUAAUGCUUCGGAAUCUGCCCAGUAGUGGGGAACAACCAGUCGAAAGACUGGCUAAUACCGCAUACGACCUAAGGGUGAAAGCAGGGGAUCGUAAGACCUUGCGCUAUUGGAUGAGCCGAAGUCGGAUUAGCUAGUUGGUGAGGUAACGGCUCACCAAGGCGACGAUCCGUAGCUGGUCUGAGAGGACGACCAGCCACACUGGGACUGAGACACGGCCCAGACUCC